Long non-coding RNA from Vespa mandarinia (Asian giant hornet), 2575 nucleotides. The record is from RefSeq and is a predicted model, not a curated record. NCBI's taxonomy places the organism in Eukaryota, Metazoa, Arthropoda, Insecta, Hymenoptera, Vespidae.
UCUCUCUCUCGCGAUUAUUUUUACAAGCGAUUGCGUCAAAGCAUUGCGUUCGAAUAUUUUCCGUAAACAAUGUAGUAAUAAAAUAGAAAAAAGUGAGAAAAGGAGAGAGAGAUAGAUAGAGAGAGAGAGAGAGAGAGAGAGAGAAAGAGAGAGAGAGAUAGAGAGAGAGAGAGAGAGAGAGAAAUCACGUAAUACAUAAGGUCAUGAAUUUAUAAAGAUAUUUAUACCUUAAGGAUGAAUAAGGAAAAGAGAGAGAGAGAAUCUUUUGUGGCAACAUAAAUAUAUGGAUAGUAAAAGGAUAGGAAAGAAGACAGAAAGAAAGAAAGAAAAAAAGAAAGGAAAGAAAAAGAAAGGACAAAAUUACUAUAUUUCGACACUUAAAACUAACCGUAUAAAGUUUGUGGUGGGGGGACAAGGCCGAAGAAUCCCGAGGGAUUCCGAUGCUCGAGAAAAGAAAAUAAACUAACUAAUUAAAACUAACUUGUGAGAGAAAGGAUUGAAGGAGAAGGAGAAGAAAAAGAAGAAAAAGAAGAAGAAGAAGAAGAAGAAGAAGAAGAAAAAUUAGAGAAGCAACGAAAUAAAUAAAUACAUACAUAAAUAAAUAAAUAAAUAAAUAAAUAAAUAAAUAAAUAAAUAAAUAAAUAAAUAAAUAGAAAAAAAAUAAAAUAAAGUAAAAUAAAAUAAAAUAAAAUAAAAUAAAAUAAAAUAAAUAUACAUAAAGCUCGCGUGUCCUCGGGCUCCUUCGGAUCGUCGCGUCUUCCGACAAUGAUGUAAUUAUUAACUAUGUAAUCCCUUAACGUUAUAUUUUUCCUGGCGGUGGCACACGAAUUUGACGACGAAUGUGCCCUCAUAAAAAAAAAGGCCGUCUAAAUGAUGCGUCUGAUGCGUGUUCGCGUUGCUCGAUACGACAACGACGCGCUGCCAAUUAUUAUUAAUAAUAUAUGGGCGCGUUCGUCGUAAAAUUCGCGGGUCGCUUACGUUAACCGCCGGCAGUUUGUGAUAUAUUUAGUGAAACAAAUUAAAAUUAAACGAAAAAUAAAAAAGGAAGAAAAGAGAAGGAAAAUAAAAAAGAAAAGUGGUUGUUAUUCAAAUUAAACGGGAAAAAGGAGAGGGAGAGAGAGAGAGAGAGAGAGAGAAUGUGAGAGAGUGAGAGAGUGAGAGAAUGCGAAUGAAGAGAGUUAGGAAAAAAAGAGAUGAACGAUAGAUAGAGAAGGGGAGAGAGAGAGAGAGAGAGAUAGAGAAAAGUUGUAGCGCUCAAAGUGGUUUUACAUAUUCGAACUGAACACACAGAGAACAUAUUUAAAAUAUACUUUACAAUGCACAUCGAAGAACAUUGAUAUAACUAUUAAAGAGAAAAAGAAAAAUAAGAAAUAAAUAAAUAAAUAAAAGCAUAGAAAGAGUAAGAGAUAGGAAGAGUGAGUGAAAGAGGGGAAAGAAAGAAGGAAAGAAAGAAAGAAAGAAAGAAAGUGAAUAUGGACGAGUUCGCGGCCACGCAUGCCUGAGAUAUGGCUCGUUCGUUUUCCUCGCUAAUAACGAAGAUCACACUAACGUCGUUAUGGCAAUAGUUAAUGGCGAACGAUCGUUAGACUCUCGUAACAUCUCGUUUUUCUUCUUCUUCUUCUUCUUCUUCUACUUCUACUUCUACUUUGAGAAUUAGGAUCUCGAUCUUUUUUGUCGAUAGAACGAGAAAGAAAGAUCCCGAUCGAUAUUGUAUCUUUCAUGAGGAGGAAUAGGUGGAGGAGAAGAAGGAGAAUUAUAAUAAUAAUAAUAAUUAUAAUAAUAAUAAUAAUUAUAAUAAUAAUAAUAAUAUUAAUAAUAAUAAUAAUAAUAUUAAUAAUAAUAAUAAUAAUAAUAAUAAUAAUAAUAAUAAUUAAAAAGAAAGAAUGAAAAAAAAAAGAAGAUAUAGUACGAAAGUAAAACGAAUUCCUGCCGAUGUGAUUUUUGUCCUUGUCUAACGCGUAAGCCUCGUAGCUAAUCGCCAUCUCGAUAUUGUUGAAAAAGAGAUUUUAUAUUGAACGAUCGCGGAUAUAUAAUUUUUUAUAAGACUAACUAAGCCCACACACGCACCCCCCACAGACUUACGAUUAUAAUAUAAAAAUAUUGCGUACACCAGACAGUAACUCUAGAUUUCUAGCGCCGGGCGAUAUCUCUCAGCGUUGUGCUCGGGCUCGUUCGAUGUGGUAAAAAGGAAAGAAAGAGAGAAAGAAAGCAAAAAAAAAAAAUAAAAAAAAAAGAGAGAAGAAAGAAGAAGAAGAAAAAGUAUAGAAAAGAAGAGAAAAGUAAACCAAACUAAACGAAAAGUAAGGAAGAAAUAAAUGAAACAAGACAUAAUCUAUAGGUAUUAUUGCGCCGGGAUUAAAAAAGUAACGAUAUUAAAUUAGAAGGGGGCGUUAAUGAAAAUUUUUCGAGAUAUAUAGGAAACGUAUCGAUACUCGCGACGAUUGGAGGUAUGAAUGAAACGAGGAUUAUAUAUUAAGAAUAAAAAAAAAACCCACCCCCCUGACAACCGAGAACACCCACGGCCUAAACCCGUCAAAAAAUAAAAAAAAAAAAAGAAAAAAAAAGAAAAAAAAAA